Molecule: transfer RNA, 85 nt
Filed under: Fidelibacterota bacterium
Lineage: Bacteria; Pseudomonadati; Fidelibacterota
Description: tRNA-Leu
Rfam family: tRNA
About the family: Transfer RNA (tRNA) molecules are approximately 80 nucleotides in length. Their secondary structure includes four short double-helical elements and three loops (D, anti-codon, and T loops).
Source: RNAcentral
GCCGCGAUGGUGGAAUUGGUAGACACGCUGGUCUUAGGAACCAGUGCCUUCGGGCGUCAGGGUUCGAGUCCCUGUUGCGGCACAA